UUAAACUGCAAUCAUAAGUAAGUUUUUCGUCCAACUUUAAUCCUCCGUCUUAUUUGAAAUUUUUUUAUAAUUAGUAUUUUUUAUGAGAUGAUAAAAUAUGAAUAUUACUUUCCUCGUGACUUAUGUUUUCAAACUUUUUUAAAAAAUUAUAAAUAAGACGGACGGUCAAUGUUAGACGCGGAAAACUAUGGCUACACUUAAA
Oryza barthii is the source of this 202-nucleotide non-coding RNA. The record is from Rfam. NCBI's taxonomy places the organism in Eukaryota, Viridiplantae, Streptophyta, Magnoliopsida, Poales, Poaceae.